GGGCCAAGUAAAAGUAGAAAAAAGGGAGGGAAAAAUACACCCUGAAAUGUAGAGUGGGCUACCAUGGAGAGACACUACAGCAAGCCCUUAGUGGCACAGUCCCCUUUUGCAUUUCCUAGGCUGGCAGCAUGUCUCAAGUUCUCGCGAGAAGCCCCCUGGCAGGGCUGUGGACGUGGUUCUGUGCCAACGUCCUCAUGCCUCCUUUCUCGGCCGGUGUAGCCUGGUGUUAGUUAUCCCCCCCGCGCCCCAUCAGAUAAGCCGCGGUUCCUUUCGGUGAGUUUUCAUCUUUAUGAUGAGAUUACACUAAGUCGCAGACCGUCUGGGUUGUCAUCACGAUGUCUGCGUCAGGCCAAGCCAGCCUGGACCUCGCCUGUCAGGUGGAAAUGUUACAGUCGGCAGCCGGGAGCAAGUGCUAAUGGGUACCUGGUGGCUUUACUUCUACAAACAACUGCGAUCUUGUUUCCACCAACCGCGCUAAUACAGGAAGGAAAAGAGCUACCUCCUUUUGGAUGUGAGUUAGCACAUUCUUAUAACAGCAUUUGAAAAAUUCCUUUUCUUCUCCAUCCUUUAGUAAUUUUCCUCUUCUCCUAGGAAGCCUAACAAGCAACCAAUCCAACACAGAAAAUGAAGGAACAUUUUUGACCCAAUUUGCUCUUCAUAAGACCAGAAAAGCACGACGUAGCUAUGAGAAGAUGCAAUUAUUUUUCACUCCUGCGCAUAGGUCUACUUCAAAGGUAACUUUAUUUUGCAGGAACAGUGCUUUUGGUACAAGCUCUGUGUUCUAACG
Molecule: long non-coding RNA, 787 nt
Filed under: Fukomys damarensis (Damara mole-rat)
Lineage: Eukaryota; Metazoa; Chordata; Mammalia; Rodentia; Bathyergidae
Description: lncRNA (ENSFDAG00000030305.1)
Source: RNAcentral